Non-coding RNA from Cladorrhinum samala, 123 nucleotides. The record is from the annotation of a GenBank genome assembly. NCBI's taxonomy places the organism in Eukaryota, Fungi, Ascomycota, Sordariomycetes, Sordariales, Podosporaceae.
GGCAAGAUGGCCGAGCGGUCUAAGGCGCCACGUUAAGGUUAUCAAAAAACUCUUAAUCAACAUCCUUCUAAACAUUGGAUUCCGUGGUCCGAAAGGGCGUGGGUUCGAAUCCCACUCUUGUCA